AUCACGUGGGUUUGACAUCACGUUUCCGUAGGCCUAGGAGGGCCGUGAACGAGUGGAGCGAGUGAGGCGGGUGAGUGGUCUCGACAGUCGGCGUUGGCUCACACGACGGGAGGGAGCAGUAGAAGUAGAAAGCAACGAUUCUCUCCAACGAAAGGAGAAUUGGAUCUUGGAUCAAAAGCUGGGAGGACAGCAUGCUCGACACACAUGUGUGACUCUGUGGGGGUACCGAGAUGCAUUUAUAUAACGCACAUCAGGACUGACUCCUUGGAUACAGCAGGUCCAUGCACUAAAGUGUCUGGUGACAUUUCUGGAAUUCUAAACUAUAAGAGGAAAGGAAUGUCCCCAGCGAUUGUGGUUUACGUGAGGUUUCCAUCAGUGAAACAUUCUUAGAGUCCUUUACGUGUACCGUAACUGCAAGAUUUCACAACAAUAUUACAGUAAAAAGGACCAGAGCUGUGACCUCACUCUUCACAACAGACGAGCACUAAGUAGAAGAUGGGGCGGAUUUAGUCAGGUCGUUGUUCUUGCAUCGCUGACACCUGAAGUUACAAAUAUAAAGGACGCGUGACCGGUGACAAAAGGAGCAAAGAUCUCGCCGUGUCGGGUACUGACACUGGCUGGCACACCAAUCCUCUUUUCACACAAACAGGAGUGGCUACCUCAACAGCCACUGGGCAAAGAGUCGUCUACAGACCUUAGAACAUCCAUUAGAACAGGAAAAGUGGUUUAGUUUUAGUAAGAGUUUUACGGCACUUGCAACACAAUAAGGUCAUAUAAGUGCCGAAGAUUAGAGGUGUUACAAGAGAGUAACAAACAUAAAGAAAGAAGGAGGGGAGAUAAAGACAAUAGAUGUUUGAUAGGAAAGAAGAAGCAAACCACACCAGAGCACCCGCCAACUAGGAAAAAUGGCCAAUGACUCGUAGCCUGAAACUCCGACCAACACUAACAGCCACCAAACGGUCGUACCUCGACAAACUGAAACGUUUGAGCCUGCCCCCGUGGAAUGAAUGAGGAGACCCAGUGAGACAGACAAUAAAUCCAGGCCGUAUACUCCAACUACAUAAAGACGCAGAGAGAGAGAGAGAGAGAGAGAGAGAGAGAGAGAGAGAGAGAGAGAGAGAAACAGAGCCAGAGAGACAGAGAGACACAUUCAGACAGAGAAAGAGAGAGAGAGAGAGAGAGAGAGAGAGAGAGAGAGAGAGAGAGAGGAGGCAUACAGUAAAGUACAAAAUUUGAUCCUCUUGAUCCUCUUCAUCAAGCCACUCGGUGUGACCGAUGAAUGAAACAAACUUUAGAAUCCCCAUCACCGACUGUACAAGGACGCUGAAAGAGACCAGACAACAACUUCCAAACCUUCCGUGAAGACACACGAAUCGACACAAGACAGGUCCACGACAAGAAGUCCCGGACAUACACUUACUACUAACAAAGACGCCAGAAGAGGCCAUACGUUAGGGGCGGGGUUUUUUCUUUGGUUUGGUUUGGUUUUGUUUGGUUAAUUUGUUUGGGUUUUUUUAGCCAGAAAGACGCCGGAAAAGGAUAGGACAUAAUACUUUACGGCGGGUUUUUUCUUUUGUUUGUUUGUUUGGAUUUAAAAACAAUUUAAAAUCAAAUACGGUCAUGUCGGCACAGCCUGCAGCCCAACUUCUGACCUCCAGCCUUCCGGAGAAAGGAUUCGACAUGUCUGGAUCAGUCCUGGACCAGAUGUGGAACCAGUCUGUCGACACCAACAUCAGCAGCGACGGCAACAGCAACGCCAGCCUGUACACGGACACCACCAACCCGCGCCUCGUCAACGGCGUGAUGGUGCUGCUGCUGCUACUCCUCAACCUCAUGGGCAACGGGCUGGUCUUCUGUGUGUACCACGCUAUGGCGAAGCGAAACGUGUUCUCGCUGUUCGUCAAGGUGUUGGCGGUCCUGGACCUGGUCACAGCACUGACCACCAUGCUGAUGGACACCAUGUCCAAGAUGCGGCCGCUGGACGAGCGCGCGCUCAACCUGGACGUGCUGUGCAAGCUGACUCACUUCCAGGUCUACGCCACCAGCCUGGCCAGUGGCUGUGUGCUCACGCUCAUCGCCUACCAGAGAUACAGGAAGAUCUGCAGACCCCUCAAGCCCAGCAUAACCAUCCGUCAAGCCAAGCUGGUGGUGGCGGCGGGCACCGUGGGGAGUGCCCUGUUCAGCGUGCUGGCCCUGGUCAUCAACGGGCCGCAGGAGAUCACCAUCCGGAUGAACAACGGAGAGCUGGCGCGCGUGCUCAUCUGCCGCUACGACCGCCGCUUCGCCGGCACGCCCCUGCAGCUGGCGCUCUCCCUCAUCCUGCUCACCGCCUUCUCCGUCACGCUCUUCCUCACCGUCUUCUUCUACUUCCUCGUCUACCGCGCGCUGAGGAACUUCGAGCGUCGGAACUCGCUCACGGGCGGCGGCGCCGGCAGCUGCAGCAACCCCAGCUCGCCCACGUCACCGUUGGGCCUGGACUCGGCCGCUGGUGGAGCCGUCGCCGGAGGUCAUGGCACAGCGCCCACGCCGCUGCCAGAGUUCCCGAUCGCCGCGCAUCGCGAGUACGCCGAGGCGGCCCCGCCGGCGGAAGAGCGGCGACGCCGGUACCGCGAGCAGACGCGGCAGUCUCGCGCGACGUCCAUCUUCUCGGCCGGCGGCGGCGGGGACCGCGUGUCCAGCCAGAUGUACAAGACGUUCCUCAUCAUCACCGUGGUGUUCAUCGUUAGCUACUUGCCGCACCUGGUCGUGCUCAUCCUCAACAAGGUGCUGAGGCUGGACAGCCAGGUGCUCACCUACACGCAGCGCGUCUUCCUUGAGCUGGCCUACAACUGCCCCUACAUCAGCACCGUGGCCAACCCGGUGGUCUACGGCUUCCGCAGCGCAGAGUUCCGCGAGAACUGCCGGAAGUUUCUCAGUUGUCACUGCAGGAACCGACGAAGGAGAUACGGUUACUGAGGGAGGAAGGUUCCGCCAGUACUACCCAAAAAAAAAAACCGCUAGUAUAAAUAUGUGCAUUGGAAAGGAAGGAUAUAUCUCACUCAUAGAGGUAGUCCUAGUACCGACGCACAGUGGGCUGCAGACGACGUAUAACGCGUAUUGAUGACUUCAAUGUCAUAUUUUACUGAAACACGCCAACUUGGUAUUUGAAUCGGAAAAGUAGCUCACGGCUGCGGGGUACCUAACAAUGAAGUGGGCUUCAAACAAUCCCCAAAGCGUUCUGCAGACGUUGGCAGUACGAUAAACUGGUAUACCAGACGGUACCAGGUACUGCAGAAUAAUUAACAACGAGCUGCAGAUGACACAUCAAGCGUUGACAGUACAGUGGGUGUCGCAUUCAACGAGGUCACAUUCAACAAGAAGUCGGGUCCAACGAGGCAAUCCUUAAUCCCCGAUUUUUUCCUCUAUAUCUCUUUGUAAAUGUACGUCAGCUCCAACGAAGACCGACUAACAAGCAUAAGGGACUGCCAAGCCCUAACAGGACGGCUAGUUCACGGCAGAGGGCCGUGUGCUUCCACUGGAUUCGUAACACAUACUGAGAACUUUGGUGGUGGAGUAACCAGUUCAUACAAGGUGUAGUUUGUCGAAUUGCCCGGAAAUAGAAAACACACUGUGUAGGAUGGCAUUCUAAAGGCGAGGAAAAGAUGACAUAACUUCAUUGGGCGAAAAAAUUACCUUUUUAUCCUUCUUUCUCCUGGAAAAAAAACCGCUAUGGGAUCCGUCUGAUUCUUUGUUUACAAAAGAUUCAUCUAUAGGCCUAUACUCUGAAAUCGAAAAGGCCCAUAUUACGAACAUUGGGAUUAAUUACUUCUUGGACUGGAUAAUCAUCUCAAACCACGAGAAAGACUGUCGAGCAUUAACUAAUAACAUGUUUAAAUUCGUUGUGUCAUUGUACUAAAAGUACAAGUGUCAUUGUACUAAAAGUACAAGAAAAAUGGAAGAGGACAGCUCGUGUGUACGCAUCUGAGCAGUGUGAAUGAGGGAAAUAACCACUUCCGGUAUUACUUUUGCUGCCGAGCUGUAAUUUACGUCGUCGCACAACAACGGCCAUACUUCCUCUCCAACAUAACACUAAUACUGUAUCAUAAUACUGAAUUAGAAAAAAAUAGCAACGCAAACAGUAA
Molecule: unclassified non-coding RNA, 4121 nt
Filed under: Aplysia californica (California sea hare)
Lineage: Eukaryota; Metazoa; Mollusca; Gastropoda; Aplysiida; Aplysiidae
Description: gastrin/cholecystokinin type B receptor, transcript variant X3
Source: RNAcentral